Pantherophis guttatus is the source of this 1054-nucleotide non-coding RNA. Lineage: Eukaryota; Metazoa; Chordata; Lepidosauria; Squamata; Colubridae. The record is from RefSeq and is a predicted model, not a curated record.
GUGCUUUCUUAAGUUGCAAUUCAUUUGUAAGCUGCAGGCGCGCGCACCCAGACACGCUCUCUUCCGGCAAAAUAUCUAUAGAAGAAUCAAUGGGGGGGGAGGAGAGACAAAUGGAACUUUGAGCGAGAGAGCAAGCGGCCGUAAGCGCCGAAGAACAGAAGGACCUUCUCUGAAAAGUACUGAAGGUGCUAGCGAUGCAAAAGGAGAGGGAGGGGCAAGGGGCCUGAGUUUUAAGCCAUAUUGGGACUGUGUAACACUUUCCAGCCUGACAGGAGCUGAAGGGAAAAGGUUCUGGAGUUUAGAACUUGAAGCCAGUCGGCCAACAACUCUAGAUUGAAAGAAUAUGUGCCUCCAUACCAGCGGUGAAAUCCUCUGAAGUCUGCUACCAAUUCUGUGAAUCUGUGAAUCUGCUACUGAGCGCACGCUUUGCGCGCACAUGCGCACGAGGCAUGCCCACGCAGCACUAAAAAAGGAAUAUUUUGAAGCCUUCCGAGUCUGCAAAGGCAGGCCUCUCCAUUCGAGCUGCUGGCAGGAAAGGUACCUCCCCACCUCCUCUCAAUGGUCACUGCCUCUGCAGUGACUUUUUUUUAACAAGUGGAACAAUGAAAAAGUGGGCUUUUCUUGUUUUGUACAAGUUCACGGAUGGAACAGGUAAAGGAUGGACUUUUUUUAAAAAAAGGGACAGAGUUUUGACAGGAAAAAAAAGGUAAAACAGAAAUCUUUUUAUCCUUUUCUUUUUAACCUUCUAGGAGAAGAAUGUUUUAAAAAACAGGAGCUGCAGUAAUGGCAGCCUGAAGGCUGUUUGGAAGAGAGAACAUCAGGCCUUCACCUUGGCCAAAGCUGAGGCAGAGUUUGAAAUCCAGAAGGGGUUUCUUAAGCCAACUUCAUUUUCAGCCAGUUUAUGCAUGGGAGACAAGCAGCUUAAGGCUGCAGUGCGGAAAAGCCUUAAUACCAAAAUUCUUGACACUCCUGGCACUCAACAGUUGUGAAAAAUUGUUCAGUCUCUAACCAUAGAGCAGCUUUUCUCAGAUCUCUGCAGCAGACUGAAGCUAUA